AUGGAGUUCCUGCAGGACAGCAUCCCCAAGGUGUGCCUCGCCGCCGCGGCCGCCGCGCUGUACGCGCGCGCGUCGUCGUCCCUCCUCCGGCCCGGCCUCCCCCGCCUCGUCGCGCUGCUCCCGGUGCUCGCGUUCCUCGCCGCCGCGCCCUUGGCGUGCACUUCCUCCACCAACGUCCGGGGCACCGCCGCCUUCUUCCUCGCCUGGCUCGGCACAUUCAAGGUCGCCCUCCUCGCCGCCGGCCGCGGGCCGCUCGACCCAGCGCUGCCCGUGCUCACGUUCCUCUUCACCGCCUUGCUCCCCGUCAAGCUCCGCGGAGCAGCGGCGCCGGCCAAGGCCGGCAAGCCGGUGUCGCUCGUUUCCUGCGCGGUCAAGGUCGCCGUCAUAGCCGUCCUGCUCUGGCUCUACCAGUUCAGCGACCGGAUGCACCUCUACGCGCGCCUCGCGCUGUACGGCGUCCACAUGUACUGCUUCUUCGACCUCCUCCUCCCCUGCAUCGCGGCCGCCGGCGGCGCGCUCGGCAUGGAGAUGGAGCCGCAGUUCGACCGGCCGUACCUGGCCUCGUCGCUGCGCGACUUCUGGGGCCGGCGGUGGAACCUCAUGGUGUCCGCCAUCCUCCGGCCGUCGGUCUACGACCCCGUGCGCGCCCGCGCAGGGAGCGCCGCCGGCGUGCUGGCCUCGUUCGCGGUGUCCGGGCUGAUGCACGAGGCCAUGGUGUGCUACCUCAGCCUGCGGUGGCCGCCCAGCGGCGGGAUGGCCGCGUUCUUCGUCCUCCACGGCGUCUGCUGCGUCGCCGAGGGGUGGUGGGCGCGGCGGUGGGCGACGAGCGGGUGGCCGCCCCUGCAGCGCCCCGUGGCCACGGCGCUGGUGGGGCUGUUCGUGACGGCCACGUCGUUCUGGCUCUUCUUCCCGGCUCUUCUUCCCGGGGUCGAGGAGAAGCUGAUGGAGGAGUGGGCCGCAGUGGGGGCUUUCUUCCUCGACGCCGGCGGGAAAGUUCCGUCGUAUGGUCAACGGAGCAAAAGUUAG
This 1026-nucleotide ribosomal RNA is filed under the name Triticum aestivum (bread wheat). RNAcentral's name for it is "partial small subunit ribosomal RNA". The record is from RNAcentral. Lineage: Eukaryota; Viridiplantae; Streptophyta; Magnoliopsida; Poales; Poaceae.